This 76-nucleotide transfer RNA is filed under the name Trichonephila inaurata madagascariensis. It matches the Rfam family "tRNA". From Rfam's summary of the family: Transfer RNA (tRNA) molecules are approximately 80 nucleotides in length. Their secondary structure includes four short double-helical elements and three loops (D, anti-codon, and T loops). The record is from Rfam by way of RNAcentral. Lineage: Eukaryota; Metazoa; Arthropoda; Arachnida; Araneae; Nephilidae.
GCCGCUAUAGCUCAGUGGCUAGAGCGUUGGUCUCGUAAAACCAAAGGUCGCAAAAGCCCGAAUCUUGUUGGCGGCA